CAGUCGCCACGGUAAUACGUAGGUGGCAAGCGUUGUCCGGAAUUAUUUGGCGUAAAGCGCGCGCAGGUGGUUUAAUAAGUCUGAUGUGAAAGCCCACGGCUCAACCGUGGAGGGUCAUUAGAAACUGUUAAACUUGAGUGCAGGAGAGAAAAGUGGAAUUCCUAGUGUAGCGGUGAAAUGCGUAGAGAUUAGGAGGAACACCAGUGGCGAAGGCGGCUUUUUGGCCUGUAACUGACACUGAGGCGCGAAAGCGUGGGGAGCAAACAGGAUUAGAUACCCGUGUAGUCCCUGUCUCUUAUAC
RNAcentral lists this ribosomal RNA (301 nucleotides) under uncultured bacterium. Its description in RNAcentral is "partial 16S ribosomal RNA". It matches the Rfam family "Bacterial small subunit ribosomal RNA", at positions 509 to 807 of the family's 1533-position model. The record is from RNAcentral.